CAUAUCAAUAAGCGGAGGAAAAGAAACUAACAAGGAUUCCCCUAGUAACUGCGAGUGAAGCGGGAAAAGCUCAAAUUUAAAAUCUGGCAGUCUCUGGCUGUCCGAGUUGUAAUCUAGAGAAGUGCUAUCCGCGCUGGACCGUGUACAAGUCUCCUGGAAUGGAGCGUCGUAGAGGGUGAGAAUCCCGUCUUUGACACGGACUGCCAGGGCUUUGUGAUGCGCUCUCAAAGAGUCGAGUUGUUUGGGAAUGCAGCUCAAAAUGGGUGGUAAAUUCCAUCUAAAGCUAAAUAUUGGCGAGAGACCGAUAGCGAACAAGUACCGUGAGGGAAAGAUGAAAAGAACUUUGGAAAGAGAGUUAAACAGUACGUGAAAUUGCUGAAAGGGAAACGCUUGAAGUCAGUCGCGUUGACCAGGGAUCAACCUUGCUUUUGCUUGGUGUACUUUCUGGUUGACGGGUCAGCAUCAAUUUUGACUAUUGGAAAAAGAUCAAGGGAAUGUGGCAUCUUCGGAUGUGUUAUAGCCCUUGGUUGCAUACAAUGGUUGGGAUUGAGGAACUCAGCACGCCGCAAGGCCGGGUUUAACCACGUACGUGCUUAGGAUGCUGGCAAAAUGGCUUUAAUCGACCCGUCUUGAAACACGGACCAAGGAGUCUAACAUGCCUGCGAGUGUUUGGGUGGAAAACCCAAGCGCGUAAUGAAAGUGAAAGUUGAGAUCCCUGUCGUGGGGAGCAUCGACGCCCGGACCAGACCUUCUGUGACGGUUCCGCGGUAGAGCAUGUAUGUUGGGACCCGAAAGAUGGUGAACUAUGCCUGAAUAGGGUGAAGCCAGAGGAAACUCUGGUGGAGGCUCGUAGCGAUUCUGACGUGCAAAUCGAUCGUCAAAUUUGGGUAUAGGGGCGAAAGACUAAUCGAAACCAUCUAGUAGCUGG
Molecule: ribosomal RNA, 928 nt
Filed under: Thaxterogaster myxenosma
Lineage: Eukaryota; Fungi; Basidiomycota; Agaricomycetes; Agaricales; Cortinariaceae
Description: Cortinarius myxenosma partial large subunit ribosomal RNA
Rfam family: Eukaryotic large subunit ribosomal RNA
Source: RNAcentral